RNAcentral lists this ribosomal RNA (301 nucleotides) under uncultured bacterium. RNAcentral's name for it is "partial 16S ribosomal RNA". It matches the Rfam family "Bacterial small subunit ribosomal RNA", at positions 509 to 807 of the family's 1533-position model. The record is from RNAcentral.
CAGUAGCCGCGGGAAAACGGAGGGUGCUAGCGUUGUUCGGAAUCACUGGGCGUAAAGGGCGCGUAGGCGGCCUGUUAAGUCGGAUGUGAAAGCCCGGGGCUCAACCCCGGAACUGCAUCCGAGACUGGCAGGCUUGAGACCGGGAGAGGAGGGUGGAAUAUCCAGUGUAGAGGUGAAAUUCGUAGAUAUUGGAUGGAACACCGGUGGCGAAAGCGGCUCUCUGGCCCGGAUCUGACGCUGAGGCGCGAAAGCGUGGGGAGCAAACAGGAUUAGAUACCCGAGUAGUCCCUGUCUCUUAUAC